AAUCCUAAUAAAAUGUAAAUGGAUCACCUUUCCGAUUGAGAAUGAGAUCAGUUUUCAAUCGUUUCAAAUUUGGAAAUAAAACUGUAUUAUUUGUGAUCCCCAAAGAAGACGGUUUUUUGAAAUGGCAUCAGAAGAUAUGGCCAACUUGAAAAUUGAAGAUAGCAAAGACCAAAGAGAUGGUGGAUUUGUGUUCACAUCCAAACAAGACAAUAAUAAUUCUUCAGGCUCAUCAUUCCUUCAGCUUGGUGAUGCUCAUGCUCAUGCCAUUGAUAAAUUCAAAUUCGGUGCAAGGAAGGAACAAAGUGGCAACAAUAAAAGUAGACCAAAACUCAAGUUAUCUACCCCUCCCCAGGGAUAUCAUGAUUUUAUUUGGAAGCCAAAGAAUGAGUCAUUUGGUUUUUUUAGUGUGGAUGCCACAUCAAUUGAUCAGUGUUCGAAUAAGAAUGAAUGUGAAGUUGUAGGCAUAGAGAAUAAGGAGGAAGCUUCAGAUUGUGGUGGAAGCUUCAAGUCUGCCAAUGAUGAAGUGGACAUAACAAAUGAUGGUUCAAGACAUAUGAGUGGCUUUACAUUUUCUGCUUCUCAAGUGCAAUCAUCUAGCUCUAGCCUCAAACGCCACCCCAAUAAGAUAAAUUGGGUAAAAGUUGGUCAUGCUCAUCAAAAUGAUACUUACAACUCCACUCCUAAUCCAUUAUCAUUUUCUGGAACUUCCUCUCUUUUCACUUCAGGGCAAGCCAAUACAAGGGGAUCUGAGGUGCAAGGGAUAAAGGAUGAAUUUGCUUCCAUUUCUGCUACAACCCUUGCGGCUGAGGAAGCCUGUGAAAAGUGGAGACUCAAAGGAAACCAAGCCUACAAAAAUGGAAAUUUAUCUGUGGCUGAGGAUUGCUACACACAAGGAGUUAGUUGUGCUUCUAAAGUUGAAGCGUCUCAGAGAUGCCGAAGGGCCUUGAUGCUGUGUUAUAGCAACCGUGCUGCCACACGCAUGUCUCUUGGUAGGAUGAGAGAAGCAGUAGAAGAUUGUAGGCUGGCUGCUGAAAUUGAUCCAAAUUUCCUCAGGGUGCGACUUAGAGCUGCAAAUUGUUUCCUUGCUAUGGGGGAAGCUGAGGAUGCGUCAAAGUAUUCCAAGAGGUGCUUGCAAUCAGGAACCGAUUUUUGUGUAGAUAAAAAAAUUGUUGUGGAAGCCUCCGAUCUCUUGCAAAAGACACAGAAAGUAUCAGAAUUAAUCAAUCAUUCUGAUGAACUUUUGCAAAGAAGAACGGCUGCUGAUGCAGAGAGAGCAUUGGAACUUAUAAAUGAGGCAUUGGUGAUAAGUUCAUACUCUGAAAAAUUGCUUGAAAUGAAAGCGGAGGCUCUUUUUAUGCUAUGUAGAUAUGAGGAAGUGAUCCAGCUGUGUGAUCAAACCGUUGGCUCUGCCGAGAAGAAUUCCUAUCCAUUGGAUGCUGAUUGCGAAGUGAGAGAUCUGGAUAGUUCACAGCUUUCAAAAGGCUUAUAUUUCAGGCUUUGGCGGUGCUCAAUGAUGCUUAAAUCCUACUUUCACCUAGGAAAGCUUGAAGAGGGUCUUUCUUUACUGGAGGAACAAGAGGAAAAGGUAUCAGCCAUAAACAUGAGUGGAAGCAAGGUUUUGGAAUCACUAAUGCCACUAGCUGUCACUGUACGUGAGCUCUUGCAUCAUAAGACAGCAGGGAAUGAAGCGUUUCAGGCAGGAAAACAUGAGGAAGCUGUUGAACAUUAUACAGCUGCUUUAUCAUGUAAUGUGGAAUCUCUCUUAUUUGCAUCUGUCUGUUUUGGUAAUCGGGCAGCUGCAUAUAAAGCAUUAGGUCAAAUUACUGAUGCCAUAGCAGAUUGCAAUCUGGCUAUAGCUCUUGAUGGAAGAUACUUAAAGGCACUUUCUAGGCGUGCAACUUCAUAUGAGAUGAUCAGAGAUUAUGACCAUGCAGCAAGCGAUAUAAGGAGAGUUGUCUCUCUUCUCAUUAAUAGAAAUCAGCAUGGCAUAUCUGAUAGAUCAAUCAACUAUGCCAAUGAUUUGAAACAUAACCAAAUUUGGCUUUCCGAAAUAGAAGAGGAAGCCAAAAAGGGGAUACCUCUUGAUAUGUACCUCAUUUUGCAUCAGCUGAUUCAGAUUAUGAUGGCAGAGGAGUUGAACAUUCUGUUUCGUCAUCUGAAAUCAAGAAGGCCUAUCACAAAGCUGCACUUAGACAUCAUCCAGACAAGGCUGGCCAAUCUUUGGCAAGAAGUGACAAUGGAGAUGAUCAGAUAUGGAAGGAUAUUGUUGAAGAAAUAAGCAAAGAUGCCGAUAGGCUUUUCAAAAUAAUUGGAGAGGCAUAUGCAGUCCUGUCGGACACUGCCAAGCGUUCACAGUAUGAUUCUGAAGAAGAAAUGAGAAAUUCCCAAAAGAAACGCCAUGGAAACAGCAUCAAUAGAAAUAAUGUCAUUGAUCAAACUGACAAUAGGAGACACUGGAAAGAGGUUUGAAGAUCAAGUGGUAACUCAUCUUUUAAAGAUUCUGAAGCUGGCAGGUCAAGUAGGCAAUAAGAAAAUCUGUGUUGAAUUUUAGUUAGUGAUGUGUUUUAUCUUAUGCAUUUGAGACCAAUGGCAAUGCAGUUGAACAAGCUCGGUUGGGAUAUUGGAAGAAUUUUUCUUUUGACAUGCGAAAGAGAUCAUUGGUUGCAUUCGAUUGUUGUUUUGUUUUUUGUUUUUUUUUCUACUGACCAUUAAUCAGCUUGGAUGACAGCAAGCAAGUGAAAAGGAAGUUUGAAAUUUUGCAUUCUGUCUGGUUUGUCAGGUGUGUAAAGAUUUUUUUUUUCUUUCUUGAAUGUGUGUAUAGAUCUAUACUAUCAGAAAGUUGAUACCGCAUUUGCAUUUGUGUAAUACCACAUGAAAAAUUUUGAUGA
Molecule: RNA transcript, 2888 nt
Organism: Glycine soja
Lineage: Eukaryota; Viridiplantae; Streptophyta; Magnoliopsida; Fabales; Fabaceae
Gene name: dnaJ homolog subfamily C member 7-like
Exons: 11
Source: RefSeq, a predicted model, not a curated record